GCUUGCUUCUCUUGAGAGCGGCGGACGGGUGAGUAAUGCCUAGGAAUCUGCCUGGUAGUGGGGGAUAACGUUCGGAAACGGACGCUAAUACCGCAUACGUCCUACGGGAGAAAGCAGGGGACCUUCGGGCCUUGCGCUAUCAGAUGAGCCUAGGUCGGAUUAGCUAGUUGGUGGGGUAAUGGCUCACCAAGGCGACGAUCCGUAACUGGUCUGAGAGGGUGAUCAGUCACACUGGAACUGAGACACGGUCCAGACUCCUACGGGAGGCAGCAGUGGGGAAUAUUGGACAAUGGGCGAAAGCCUGAUCCAGCCAUGCCGCGUGUGUGAAGAAGGUCUUCGGAUUGUAAAGCACUUUAAGUUGGGAGGAAGGGUUGUAGAUUAAUACUCUGCAAUUUUGACGUUACCGACAGAAUAAGCACCGGCUAACUCUGUGCCAGCAGCCGCGGUAAUACAGAGGGUGCAAGCGUUAAUCGGAAUUACUGGGCGUAAAGCGCGCGUAGGUGGUUUGUUAAGUUGGAUGUGAAAUCCCCGGGCUCAACCUGGGAACUGCAUUCAAAACUGACUGACUAGAGUAUGGUAGAGGGUGGUGGAAUUUCCUGUGUAGCGGUGAAAUGCGUAGAUAUAGGAAGGAACACCAGUGGCGAAGGCGACCACCUGGACUAAUACUGACACUG
RNAcentral lists this ribosomal RNA (674 nucleotides) under uncultured bacterium. RNAcentral describes it as "bacterial SSU rRNA". It matches the Rfam family "Bacterial small subunit ribosomal RNA", at positions 78 to 748 of the family's 1533-position model. The record is from RNAcentral.